CCUACGGGAGGCUGCAGUGAGGAAUAUUGGUCAAUGGACGAGAGUCUGAACCAGCCAAGUAGCGUGAAGGAUGACUGCCCUAUGGGUUGUAAACCUCUUUUAUAAAGGAAGAAAACGAGGCACGUGUGCCGUUUUGCAUGUACCUUAUGAAUAAGGAUCGGCUAACUCCGUGCCAGCAGCCGCGGUAAUACGGAGGAUCCGAGCGUUAUCCGGAUUUAUUGGGUUUAAAGGGAGCGUAGAUGGGUUGUUAAGUCAGUUGUGAAAGUUUGCGGCUCAACCGUAAAAUUGCAAUUGAUACUGGCAGUCUUGAGUACAGUUGAGGUAGGCGGAAUUCGUGGUGUAGCGGUGAAAUGCUUAGAUAUCACGAAGAACCCCGAUUGCGAAGGCAGCUUACUAAACUGUGACUGACAUUGAUGCUCGAAAGUGUGGGUAUCAAACAGGAUUAGAUACCCCAGUAGUC
RNAcentral lists this ribosomal RNA (460 nucleotides) under uncultured bacterium. Its description in RNAcentral is "partial 16S ribosomal RNA". It matches the Rfam family "Bacterial small subunit ribosomal RNA", at positions 338 to 795 of the family's 1533-position model. The record is from RNAcentral.